CUGUCGGUGUUAACUGGCAUGUUCUGUGGAACGUCCUGCCGGUGGCGGUCCGGGCUCUCGUUCUGCGUAAGGGUCUCCCGAAGCAGUGCGAACAGUUCCGGCCGCCGGUUCAAUCCCGCCACGGUGCUCUUCACCGAGUGUCGAGGCGGGCCGGCACUUUUACUUUGAACAAAUUAGAGUGCUUAAAGCAGGCGGUUUCCGCCUGAAUACUGUGUGCAUGGAAUAAUGGAAUAGGACCUCGGUUCUAUUUUGUUGGUUUUCAGAACCCGAGGUAAUGAUUAAUAGGGACAGGCGGGGGCAUUCGUAUUGCGACGUUAGAGGUGAAAUUCUUGGAUCGUCGCAAGACGAACCUAAGCGAAAGCAUUUGCCAAGUAUGUUCUCGUUAAUCAAGAACGAAAGUUAGAGGUUCGAAGGCGAUCAGAUACCGCCCUAGUUCUAACCAUAAACGAUGCCAACCAGCGAUCCGCCGAAGUUCCUCCGAUGACUCGGCGGGCAGCUUCCGGGAAACCAAAGCUUUUGGGUUCCGGGGGAAGUAUGGUUGCAAAGCUGAAACUUAAAGGAAUUGACGGAAGGGCACCACCAGGAGUGGAGCCUGCGGCUUAAUUUGACUCAACACGGGAAACCUCACCAGGCCCGGACACCGGAAGGAUUGACAGAUUGAGAGCUCUUUCUUGAUUCGGUGGGUGGUGGUGCAUGGCCGUUCUUAGUUGGUGGAGCGAUUUGUCUGGUUAAUUCCGAUAACGAACGAGACUCUAGCCUGUUAACUAGGCGAAUCUGGUACCCACAACAGUGUUACCGGCGAUUCAAUUUCUUCUUAGAGGGACAGGCGGCUUCUAGCCGCACGAGACUGAGCAAUAACAGGUCUGUAAUGCCCUUAGAUGUUCUGGGCCGCACGCGCGCUACACUGAAGGAAUCAGCGUGUCUUCCCUGGCCGACAGGCCCGGGUAACCCGUUGAACCUCCUUCGUGCUAGGGAUUGGGGCUUGCAAUUGUUCCCCAUGAACGAGGAAUUCCCAGUAAGCGCGAGUCAUAAGCUCGCGUUGAUUACGUCCCUGCCCUUUGUACACACCGCCCGUCGCUACUACCGAUUGAAUGAUUUAGUGAGGUCUUCGGACUGGUGCGCGGCUGUCGGUCUCCGGCAGCCGAUGUUGCCGGAA
RNAcentral lists this ribosomal RNA (1156 nucleotides) under Pectinariophyes hyalinipennis. RNAcentral's name for it is "SSU rRNA". It matches the Rfam family "Eukaryotic small subunit ribosomal RNA", at positions 700 to 1752 of the family's 1831-position model. The record is from RNAcentral. Lineage: Eukaryota; Metazoa; Arthropoda; Insecta; Hemiptera; Machaerotidae.